RNAcentral lists this ribosomal RNA (425 nucleotides) under uncultured bacterium. RNAcentral describes it as "bacterial SSU rRNA". It matches the Rfam family "Bacterial small subunit ribosomal RNA", at positions 354 to 796 of the family's 1533-position model. The record is from RNAcentral.
GUGGGGAAUAUUGGACAAUGGGCGCAAGCCUGAUCCAGCCAUGCCGCGUGAGUGAUGAAGGCCUUAGGGUUGUAAAGCUCUUUCGCCGGUGAAGAUAAUGACGGUAACCGGAGAAGAAGCCCCGGCUAACUUCGUGCCAGCAGCCGCGGUAAUACGAAGGGGGCAAGCGUUGCUCGGAAUCACUGGGCGUAAAGCGCACGUAGGCGGAUCGUUAAGUCAGGGGUGAAAGCCUGGAGCUCAACUCCAGAACUGCCCUUGAUACUGGCGAUCUUGAGUUCGAGAGAGGUUGGUGGAACUCCGAGUGUAGAGGUGAAAUUCGUAGAUAUUCGGAAGAACACCAGUGGCGAAGGCGGCCAACUGGCUCGAUACUGACGCUGAGGUGCGAAAGCGUGGGGAGCAAACAGGAUUAGAUACCCCGGUAGUCC